AGUGAACGCUGGCGGUAGGCCUAACACAUGCAAGUCGAACGGCAGCACAGUAAGAGCUUGCUCUUACGGGUGGCGAGUGGCGGACGGGUGAGGAAUACAUCGGAAUCUACUUUUUCGUGGGGGAUAACGUAGGGAAACUUACGCUAAUACCGCAUACGACCUACGGGUGAAAGCAGGGGAUCUUCGGACCUUGCGCGAUUGAAUGAGCCGAUGUCGGAUUAGCUAGUUGGCGGGGUAAAGGCCCACCAAGGCGACGAUCCGUAGCUGGUCUGAGAGGAUGAUCGGCGGCACUGGAACUGAGACACGGUCCAGAGUCCUACGGGAGGCAGCAGUGGGGAAUAGUGGACAAUGGGCGCAAGCCUGAUACAGCGAGACCGAGUGGGUGAAGAAGGCCUUCGGGUUGUAAAGCCCUUUUGUUGGGAAAGAAAAGCAGCAGGUUAAUACCCCGCUGUUCUGACGGUACCCAAAGAAUAAGCACCGGCUAACUUCGUG
Molecule: ribosomal RNA, 492 nt
Filed under: uncultured bacterium
Lineage: Bacteria
Description: partial 16S ribosomal RNA
Rfam family: Bacterial small subunit ribosomal RNA
Source: RNAcentral